UGGCGGACGGGUGAGUAAUGUCUGGGAAACUGCCCGAUGGAGGGGGAUAACUACUGGAAACGGUAGCUAAUACCGCAUAACGUCGCAAGACCAAAGAGGGGGACCUUCGGGCCUCUUGCCAUCGGAUGUGCCCAGAUGGGAUUAGCUGGUAGGUGGGGUAAAGGCUCACCUAGGCGACGAUCCCUAGCUGGUCUGAGAGGAUGACCAGCCACACUGGAACUGAGACACGGUCCAG
RNAcentral lists this ribosomal RNA (235 nucleotides) under uncultured bacterium. RNAcentral describes it as "partial 16S ribosomal RNA". It matches the Rfam family "Bacterial small subunit ribosomal RNA", at positions 96 to 334 of the family's 1533-position model. The record is from RNAcentral.